GAGUUUGAUCAUGGCUCAGGACGAACGCUGGCGGCGUGCCUAAUACAUGCAAGUCGAGCGGACCUUUCGGGGUCAGCGGCGGACGGGUGAGUAACACGUGGGCAAUCUGCCCGAUACUCUGGGAUAACGCUUGGAAACGAGUGCUAAUACCGGAUGGUCUUCUUGGCCGCAUGGCCGAGAAGGAAAAGACGCGUUCGCGUCGGUGUCGGAUGAGCCCGCGGCGCAUUAGCUAGUUGGUGAGGUAACGGCCCACCAAGGCGACGAUGCGUAGCCGACCUGAGAGGGUGACCGGCCACACUGGGACUGAGACACGGCCCAGACUCCUACGGGAGGCAGCAGUAGGGAAUCUUCCACAAUGGGCGAAAGCCUGAUGGAGCAACGCCGCGUGAGUGAUGAAGGCCUUCGGGUUGUAAAACUCUGUCAUUCGGGACGAACCGGAGUCUGAGGAAAUGCAGACUCUCUGACGGUACCGGAGGAGGAAGCCCCGGCUAACUACGUGCCAGCAGCCGCGGUAAUACGUAGGGGGCAAGCGUUGUCCGGAUUCACUGGGCGUAAAGCGCGCGCAGGCGGUGAUGUAAGUCUGAGGUGAAAACCCGAAGCUCAACUUCGGGACUGCCUU
This 619-nucleotide ribosomal RNA is filed under the name uncultured bacterium. RNAcentral's name for it is "bacterial SSU rRNA". It matches the Rfam family "Bacterial small subunit ribosomal RNA", at positions 9 to 627 of the family's 1533-position model. The record is from RNAcentral.